AGAUUGAACGCUGGCGGCAUGCCUUACACAUGCAAGUCGAACGGCAGCACGGGAGCAAUCCUGGUGGCGAGUGGCGAACGGGUGAGUAAUACAUCGGAACGUGCCCAAUCGUGGGGGAUAACGCAGCGAAAGCUGUGCUAAUACCGCAUAAGAUCUACGGAUGAAAGCAGGGGAUCGCAAGACCUUGCGCGAAUGGAGCGGCCGAUGGCAGAUUAGGUAGUUGGUGAGGUAAAGGCUCACCAAGCCUUCGAUCUGUAGCUGGUCUGAGAGGACGACCAGCCACACUGGGACUGAGACACGGCCCAGACUCCUACGGGAGGCAGCAGUGGGAAUUUGGACAGUGGGCGAAAGCCUGACUCCAGCCAUGCCGCGUGCAGGAUGAGGCCUUGGUUAGUAACUGUACUUUGUAACGGUACGAAAGUCUCGUUUACUAAUAAGAGG
Molecule: ribosomal RNA, 441 nt
Filed under: uncultured soil bacterium
Lineage: Bacteria
Description: bacterial SSU rRNA
Rfam family: Bacterial small subunit ribosomal RNA
Source: RNAcentral